This 1834-nucleotide long non-coding RNA is filed under the name Elaeis guineensis (African oil palm). RNAcentral describes it as "long non-coding RNA (EGUI_LNC009053)". The record is from RNAcentral. Lineage: Eukaryota; Viridiplantae; Streptophyta; Magnoliopsida; Arecales; Arecaceae.
UGGUUUACUUUACACAAUUUUUAAAAAAUCUAUUUUGGAAUCAAUUAUUCUAGAGUAGGUAUUAGAGUCCAAACUUCUGCAGCCACAAAUACUUAAUCAACUUCAGAUGAAGUUGAUCAAGAUGAAAGGCUAUAAAGAUAUAAAGAUAUGGUGGAUGUUCAAUUGGAUAGUUGGAGAUUUACAACAAUAAAUGACCACCAAGUGGAUGGAUGGCUUGGAGAUGCAUAAGGACCCGUCGAGAAGAGCUAGUGAUUUGAUGAGUUGUGUGAGGCAAAGAAAGUAAAUCAGGAAUGGAUGGCUUUGUUAUCAAUGCGAAUGAGAUGCAUAAAUAUUGUUUCUUGGAAUCCUCUUAUCUUCAUCAAUUAUUGAAGAAAACAUGGACUCACAAUCCCCUGUUAGAUGACAAAUAUCUUUUACUCUUCCCUUACAAUGUUCGAGACAGAUGCAUCUGGUUUCUAAAUUUGUGGAAAACAUGUUGAUGCUCAAGUGACAGCAUCUUGCUGUCUCCAGAGAAAUGAGUCAUAGAUUGCUGGUUCUUCUGUCCAAAUGCAGCAAUAUAUGUGAAGGUGUGCCAUGAAUGGCAUAUUAGUGAGGCCAAUUAGGGGGAGCACUAUUGGGGAGAUUUAAGCAAUCGUGGAGGGAAAAAUAAUGGGUUUGAAGUAUAGAGAUAGCAAACUGUUUGCCUUGGGAAUUCGGCAUACUAACUAUGAGUUUGAAAAUCCUGUUUCUACUAACUAUUCUUGUAAUGCCGAGGAGGUAGCAUGGGUCCUCAAGCCCCUUGUUGGGCAUUAAGAUCCCCUGCUGCAACUGGAGGUUUCAGACUUCUAUGGAGAAUAUACCUUGAAGUAUUUCUGAAUGGACUUCGGAGCAUGGAAGAGUUCUUCAUCGGUCAUCGAUUAUUGAAGGAUGGAAGGUGUGAUAUGCCACAACAAAAUUAAAGCGAGUUGUAAAGUCAUAACCCAUCAUAUACUGAGAGAGGUACUUGUUCAUUUAUGUGUAAGACUAGAAUAUAAACCUUCAUGUUUAUGUAUUAAGUGCUGUUUGGCACUAUAUUAGAUGAAAUAUCUUGGACUUCUGCUUUUUAGCAAUAAUUAGGUAGAAUCACAUUUAUGAACCCUUAAGUUAUGAGAAAUGCUUAAGCAUAUUAAAUAUGCAAUUUUGACCCAAGCCUAAAAAAUUGAAAAUUGUAAUAAAGUUGGUGAUCAACUUUUUAUUCUCCUGGAAGUUGAAUAUUUUUAAAAGUAUUCUUAUUACACUCAAAUAUGAGGCAAUUUCUUACUUGCAUGCAAUAUCUUAAGAUAUUUGGUUGAAUAAUAUUUCAUGUAUACAAGUUUUCUAUAUCAAUCUCCUGUCUCUUGUAGUCUGUCUGCUGAAGUGAAUUUCCUGCAUGCUGGGUCAGUAAGUUGGACUCUAUUUAGGCCUGCUAAGUAGGUUGACCAACCAAUCUUGCCUAUAAAUAGAGGCAAGAUGGGGAAGCCAGCUGGGAAAGGAAGGGUUGCUAAGCUAGAGAGAGGAGCAAAUUUGUCAUUUUCAAGCAUCCGCAUAUAGAUACUCUAAACGUAAGGGUCUUCUCCAAAAUUUUUAAUUGCUUUGUAGGUCAGUCUUCUAUGCUUUUCGGAUUUGAGAUUCUUAAAUUUCCUUUCCAUUUUAACGUCUUACCACAUUCAAAUUUGUCAUCUGAAAUUCUAAUAUCCACCACUCUUCUGAGUUUUGACAAUAUAUGGUUUCCUUUGAAACCAAUCUGUCCAUGUGUUUAGGAAUUAGGUUUUAUUUGUGCUUUUAAAACUUGUAGUCAAUAUCAAGUGUGCGUGCUACUUCAAAGUUCUACAUCUCA